This 331-nucleotide ribosomal RNA is filed under the name uncultured Lachnospiraceae bacterium. Its description in RNAcentral is "partial 16S ribosomal RNA". Lineage: Bacteria; Bacillati; Bacillota; Clostridia; Lachnospirales; Lachnospiraceae. The record is from RNAcentral.
GGAGUCUGGGCCGUGUCUCAGUCCCAAUGUGGCCGAUCACUCUCUCAAGUCGGCUACUGAUCGUUGCUUUGGUAGGCCGUUACCCUGCCAACUGGCUAAUCAGACGCGGGUCCAUCUUGUACCACCGGAGUUUUUCACACUGCACCAUGCGAUGCUGUGCGCUUAUGCGGUAUUAGCAGUCAUUUCUAACUGUUAUCCCCCUGUACAAGGCAGGUUACCCACGCGUUACUCACCCGUCCGCCACUCAGUCAUCCUCAUCUUCCACCCGAAGGUUUCUGUCGGGGAUGCUUCGUUCAACUUGCAUGUGUUAGGCACGCCGCCAGCGUUCAUC